CCUACGGGGUGCAGCAGUGGGGAAUAUUGGACAAUGGGCGAAAGCCUGAUCCAGCCAUGCCGCGUGUGUGAAGAAGGCCUUCGGGUUGUAAAGCACUUUCAGUGGGGAAGAAAGCCUUGGGGCUAAUACCCUCGAGGAAGGACAUCACCCACAGAAGAAGCACCGGCUAACUCCGUGCCAACAGCCGCGGUAAUACGGAGGGUGCGAGCGUUAAUCGGAAUUACUGGGCGUAAAGCGCGCGUAGGCGGUCUGAUAAGCCGGUUGUGAAAGCCCCGGGCUCAACCUGGGAACGGCAUCCGGAACUGUCAGGCUAGAGUGCAGGAGAGGAAGGUAGAAUUCCCGGUGUAGCGGUGAAAUGCGUAGAGAUCGGGAGGAAUACCAGUGGCGAAGGCGGCCUUCUGGACUGACACUGACGCUGAGGUGCGAAAGCGUGGGUAGCAAACAGGAUUAGAUACCCUAGUAGUC
This 465-nucleotide ribosomal RNA is filed under the name Vreelandella stevensii. RNAcentral's name for it is "partial 16S ribosomal RNA". It matches the Rfam family "Bacterial small subunit ribosomal RNA", at positions 338 to 795 of the family's 1533-position model. The record is from RNAcentral. Lineage: Bacteria; Pseudomonadati; Pseudomonadota; Gammaproteobacteria; Oceanospirillales; Halomonadaceae.